This 243-nucleotide unclassified non-coding RNA is filed under the name Staphylococcus carnosus. RNAcentral describes it as "partial miscellaneous RNA". The record is from RNAcentral. Lineage: Bacteria; Bacillati; Bacillota; Bacilli; Caryophanales; Staphylococcaceae.
AAGGAUAUAUACGGAACAGUUUCAACAGAAACUGACGGAUUAACAUUGACAUAUUGUAUUCAGUUUUGAAUGCUCAUUCGAGUAUUCAUGAUUGUACAUUGAAAACUAGAUAAGUAAGUAAUAAAUAGAUUUUACCAAGCAAAACCGAGUGAAUUAGAGUUUUAAAAGCUUUAUUCAUUUAAAUGAAUCGCUAGUAAUCGACUUGCCGAUGGCAAAGAAGAUUACUCACAUAAUUAAUAACGU